UACGGAGGGUGCAAGCGUUAUCCGGAUUCACUGGGUUUAAAGGGUGCGUAGGUGGGAAUGUAAGUCAGUGGUGAAAUCUCCGUGCUUAACAUGGAAACUGCCAUUGAUACUAUGUUUCUUGAAUUUUCUGGAGGUAAGCGGAAUAUGUCAUGUAGCGGUGAAAUGCUUAGAUAUGACAUAGAACACCAAUUGCGAAGGCAGCUUGCUACAGGGAUAUUGACAUUGAGGCACGAAAAGCGUGGGGGAUCAAAACAGGG
This 257-nucleotide ribosomal RNA is filed under the name uncultured bacterium. RNAcentral's name for it is "partial 16S ribosomal RNA". It matches the Rfam family "Bacterial small subunit ribosomal RNA", at positions 524 to 777 of the family's 1533-position model. The record is from RNAcentral.